Molecule: ribosomal RNA, 490 nt
Filed under: uncultured fungus
Lineage: Eukaryota; Fungi
Description: eukaryotic LSU rRNA
Rfam family: 5.8S ribosomal RNA (bases 167-320)
Source: RNAcentral
CUGUCGCUGACCUCGAGGUCGUGCACGCCGGAGCGUGUCCUCUCACAUAACGCAAUCCAUCUCACCCUUUGUGCACCACCGCGUGGGCCCCCUUUGGGGGGCUCGCGUCUUCACACAAAACCCCCCCUUUAAAAGUGUAGAGUGACCUCAUUUAUGAAAUCAAUACAACUUUCAACAACGGAUCUCUUGGCUCUCGCAUCGAUGAAGAACGCAGCGAAAUGCGAUACGUAAUGUGAAUUGCAGAAUUCAGUGAAUCAUCGAAUCUUUGAACGCACCUUGCGCCCCUUGGUAUUCCGAGGGGCACACCCGUUUGAGUGUCGUGAAUACCUCAACCUCCUUGGUUUCUUCUGGAGACCGAAGGAGGCUUGGACUUUGGAGGCCCUUGCUGGCGUCUCUGCCAGCUCCUCUCAAAUGAAUUAGUGGGGUCCCCUUUGCCGAUCCUUGACAUGUGAUAAGAUGCUUCCGUGUCUCGGUUUCUGGCUCUGUUGCU